This 599-nucleotide long non-coding RNA is filed under the name Nicotiana benthamiana. RNAcentral describes it as "long non-coding RNA (NBEN_LNC021858)". The record is from RNAcentral. Lineage: Eukaryota; Viridiplantae; Streptophyta; Magnoliopsida; Solanales; Solanaceae.
GCAUCUCUGCGUGUACUUGCGGUAGUCCGCACGGGUCACGCUUUGAUUCAACAAAAAAUAACAUUAUAAGUUGAAAUAUAGAGGAAUUUUAUAGAGUUUGAAUGAUUGUAUGGUAACCUUUUACCCAAGCAAGGGGCCUGUUAAUAUUUAAUACUUAUCUUCAUUGAACCCAUGUGUCUAACGGUUCUGACCAUGACUGAAAUGCCCUUAACGCACACAACUAAGCGGGCUGAAUGUCACAGCUUGUUAGAAGGAGCCGCUAAGGCAAAGCCAAUAAGAAAAGUAUCGAAUCUGCCUGUACCACCAUCUCGGAACCAAGCCAAAAAAUCUUUAUAAAAUUUCUUUAUAUUUUGAUGAGUCUAGAUCUUUCAUAGUUAUUAAGCAAAAGAAGUUAGAAAUCCUUCAUAGACAUGAAUCAUCUUAGCCAGACAUAUUCACGGCUUAGAGAGAGGGGAAUAAAUUAAAAACAAAAAAAGAAAGUAAAUACCUUAAGGCCAAUGGCCCUAUCAUUCGAACUGGUGGACUUGUAUUAAUCUUCAGAAUAAUUACAAAAGAAAGAGAUAAAUACUAGAAAUUUAGAGAGAGACUAGAGAGAGAGG